AAUUAGUCCAAUCGCUUAAAGUAAUAAUGCACCUCUCAGUAACAAGCAAAGAAGUUGUGCUCCAACAUUUAUCAAGCAGCAUUAAUGUAUAAAAGCAGAAGAGCCUUUGCUAGGAACUGGAGUUACGAAAGAGUAAAUGAGCUGUUUUCCAUUUUGGUCUAAUCUUCAUCACUGUUCUGUGUGGUGAUCGUUACAGAAGCAGAAAAAAAAAAAAAAAACUGCUCUGAAACCUGAGCCCUGAACAAACCACACUACUUCCUCCUUUCAGAGAAACAGAGUGGGAAAAAUAGGGGGAGAGCGAGAAGAGAGAGGAUAAGGAGGAGGGCAGGAGGGAAAAAGAGGGAUGUGUGGAGAGAGAGUGAAAAGGGGAGGAAUACAGAAAAGUUUUCCGUUAUAGGCAGAUCCUCUUGAAUAAACUUGACACACAAAUAUGCUGACGAAGAGGAAAAAAGAGAAGCGCAGACAACUGUUUGCUGACCCUGUAUAUCUGACUCACUAAUGGGAGACUUUCAUCUCUUCAGAGGGACUUUUGCCUUUUUAUAUGUAACAGCUUAAAAUGGGCGAACAUGACAAUGUUUGAUUUCCGGAUUCAGAUGGAGCCCAAGGUGCUGCACCCUCAAGUCUCGGUGAUGUUCUGGUUUCUAGACAGGACACAGGUCCAUCCAUCAGUGAGUCCAUGUGAUUUAUUUAUUUAUUUUUUAAGACAUGUAAUUGUCGUUGAAGGUAAAAAGAAGAUUGCUUAGAAAAGGAACAACAAAGACAAACAUUUACACAAUUUAAAUGAUAUAUAACCAUUUGCCUGCAACCGAGCACAUUGAAAUAGAAAUGUACUAAUCAUCAACAAACUGGUGAACAGUGAGUAAAUCGAGUGCAGUAGAUCAUUUAUUUUUAGCCCAGUAUCUCAUUAACUGUAUGAUCAAGAGCUCUUUUGUCACCUCUGAUCAGUCAGUCUUAUAUCACAGAGUGAGUCCAGCAGAUUCAGCCUGUAACAGUAUAUUAUAUACACACACAUGAUCUCAGUGCUGCUGAGCUCAGCGUCCAGCGGUUAGAGGCAGCGACACACGCCAAGUGUCUUUCCAGUAAUAACCCACACAUGGCACGGACACGUAAGCUGUGAUUCACAGAUCUCUCACAAAAAAACACGAUAGCAAAAACUGAUGCUAGAGUGUUUCGAGCAGAUCAGAGACCUAAAGUGACCCCAUAAAAUGUUUUGAAUGUGAUUGCAUGAACCUCUUUGUACACAAAGAUCACCGGAGGCCCCAGAUUAUUGUUGUACAAUAGUCACAGCACACUAAAGCAUCACGCUCUUACUUGAUCGGGACAAACUGUGUAUCAUUAGAACGAUUUAAGGCUUUGAUAUUUGACUGUUGUUUACAGUCAGUUCCAGUGACCGUAAUUUCUUAAUCAGUACAAAGUCAUGGGGAAGUCGUGGCCUAAUGGUUAGAGAGUUUGACUCCUAACCCUAAGGUUGUGGUUUUGAGUCUCGGGCCGGCAAUACCACGACUGAGGUGCCUUUGAGCAUAUUUGAAUAUGUUUUAAAAUGUAAUUUAUUCCUGUGAUGCAAAGCUGAAUUUUCAGCAUCGUUACUCCAGACUUCAGUGUCACAUGCUCCUUCAGAAAUCAAUCUAAUAUGCUGAUUUGCUGCUCAAGAAAUUAUUGCUAUUAUUAUUAUUAUCAAUGUUAAAAACAAUUUGCGGCUUGAUAUUUGUGAGAUUCUUUGAUGAAUAGAAAAGAAACAGCAUUUUAAAUAACAUUUUAAUUAUCUUUUUGACUAAUUUAAUGCAUGCUUGUUGAAUAAAAGUAUUAAUAAUAUAAAAUAAU
This is a long non-coding RNA of Cyprinus carpio (common carp), 1821 nucleotides long. The record is from Ensembl. Lineage: Eukaryota; Metazoa; Chordata; Actinopteri; Cypriniformes; Cyprinidae.